AAAAGCAAAUCUAUCAACUGUAACGCUGAAGUGUGAUGGGGAAAAAGUUCUACGGAACUUCAACUUUGCUGAAGCCAUGCUUUCAAGAAAAACUUCUAGGGCUAAUCUUGUAGGUGCCUGUACUCAGAACCGACACUGGUAGUCAAGGAGAGAAUCCUAAGGUGAGCGAGAUAACUAUGGUUAAGGAACUCGGCAAUGACCCCGUAACUUCGGAAUAAGGGGAGGUGUAGCGAUACACCCUCAGGAAAUAGGUCCAGGCAACUGUUUACCAAAAACACAGGUCUCUGCUAAAGCGUAAGCUGAUGUAUAGGGGCUGACGCCUGCCCAGUGCUGGAAGGUUAAGAGGAGAUGUUAGUUGGACGCAAGUCGAUAACAACGAAGCUUCGAAUUGAAGCCCCAGUGAACGGCGGCCGUAACGAUAACGGUCCUAAGGUAGCGAAAUUCCUUGUCAGGUAAGUUCUGACCCGCACGAAAGGCGUAAUGAUCUGGAUACUGUCUCAACCAUAGACUCGGUGAAAUCUUAAUACCUGUGAAAAUGCAGGUUACCCGCUACAGGACAAAAAGAUCCCGUGGAGCUUUACUGCAACUUGAUAUUGGAAUCAGAUGUAUCAUGUAGAGGAUAGGUGGGAGACUUUGAAGUUAGGACGUCAGUUCUAAUGGAGUCAUCCUUGGAAUACCACCCUUGAUAUGUUUGAUUUCUAACCUGCGCCCAUUAUCUGGGUGGAGGACAGUGUCUGGUGGGCAGUUUGACUGGGGCGGUCGCCUCCCAAAGAGUAACGGAGGCGCCCAAAGGUUCCCUCAGAAUGGUUGGAAAUCAUUCGUAGAGUGUAAUGGCAGAAGGGAGCUUAACUGCGAGACCUACAAGUCAAGCAGAUGCGAAAGCAGGGCAUAGUGAUCUUGCGAUCCCGAAUGGAAGGGUCGUUGCUUAACGGAUAAAAGUUACCCCGGGGAUAACAGGCUGAUCCCACCCAAUAGUUCAUAUAUACGGUGGGGUUUGGCACCUCGAUGUCGGCUCGUCGUAUCCUGGAGGUGGAAUCGCUUCCAAGGGUUGGGCUGUUCGCCCAUUAAAACGGCACGCGAGCUGGGUUCAGAACGUCGUGAGACAGUUCGGUCUCUAUCCGUAGUGGGCGUUAGAAAAUUGAGGAGUGCUUUUCCUAGUACGAGAGGACCGGAAAGGACGAACCGAUGGUGUAUCUUUUGUCACGCCAGUGGCAGUGCAGAGUAGCUAUGUUCGGAAGGGAUAAUCGCUGAAGGCAUCUAAGCGAGAAGCCCUCUCCAAGAUGAGUUUUCUUUAUCUUCAAGAUAUAAGAUCCCUUGUAGACGACAAGGUUGAUAGGUUAGAUGUGUAAGCAUAGUGAUAUGUUGAGCUGACUAAUACUAAUAGAUC
Molecule: ribosomal RNA, 1387 nt
Filed under: metagenome
Description: bacterial LSU rRNA
Rfam family: Bacterial large subunit ribosomal RNA
Source: RNAcentral